UACAGAGGGUGCAAGCGUUAUUCGGAAUCACUGGGCGUAAAGCGUAUGUAGGUGGGUAAGUAUGUCAGUUGUGAAAUCCCGGAGCUUAACUCCGGAAUGGCAAUUGAAACUGCUUAUCUUGAGAUUGGGAGAGGAUGGUAGAAUUCCUGGUGUAGAGGUGAAAUUCGUAGAUAUCAGGAGGAAUACCGGAGGCGAAGGCGGCCAUCUGGCCCAAGACUGACGCUGAGAUACGAGAGCGUGGGUAG
RNAcentral lists this ribosomal RNA (245 nucleotides) under uncultured bacterium. Its description in RNAcentral is "partial 16S ribosomal RNA". It matches the Rfam family "Bacterial small subunit ribosomal RNA", at positions 524 to 768 of the family's 1533-position model. The record is from RNAcentral.